CCUACGGGGGGCAGCAGUGAGGAAUAUUGGUCAAUGGUCGGGAGACUGAACCAGCCAAGCCGCGUGAGGGAUGAAGGUACAGAGUAUCGUAAACCUCUUUUGUCAGGGAACAAAGGCGGGGACGCGUCCCCGGAUGAGUGUACCUGAAGAAAAAGCAUCGGCUAACUCCGUGCCAGCAGCCGCGGUAAUACGGAGGAGGCGAGUGUUAUCCGGUUUUAUGGGGUUAAAGGGGGCCGCAGGCGGUCUGUUAAGUCAGCGGUCAAAGCCCGGGGCUCACCCCCGGCCCGCCGUUGAAACUGGCAGUCUCGAGUUGGAGAGAAGUAUGCGGAAUGCGCGGUGUAGCGGUGAAAUGCAUAGAUAUCGCGCAGAACUCCGAUUGCGAAGGCAGCAUGCCGGCUCCACACUGACGCUGAGGCACGAAAGCGUGGGUAUCGAACAGGAUUAGAUACCCCAGUAGUC
RNAcentral lists this ribosomal RNA (459 nucleotides) under uncultured bacterium. RNAcentral describes it as "partial 16S ribosomal RNA". It matches the Rfam family "Bacterial small subunit ribosomal RNA", at positions 338 to 795 of the family's 1533-position model. The record is from RNAcentral.